GAUGAACGCUGGCGGCGUGCCUAAUACAUGCAAGUCGAGCGAGCGGACGAGAAGCUUGCUUCUCUGAUGUUAGCGGCGGACGGGUGAGUAACACGUGGAUAACCUACCUAUAAGACUGGGAUAACUUCGGGAAACCGUAGCUAAUACCGGAUAAUAUUUUGAACCGCAUGGUUCAAAAGUGAAAGACGGUCUUGCUGUCACUUAUAGAUGGAUCCGCGCUGCAUUAGCUAGUUGGUAAGGUAACGGCUUACCAAGGCAACGAUGCAUAGCCGACCUGAGAGGGUGAUCGGCCACACUGGAACUGAGACACGGUCCAGACUCCUACGGGAGGCAGCAGUAGGGAAUCUUCCGCAAUGGGCGAAAGCCUGACGGAGCAACGCCGCGUGAGUGAUGAAGGUCUUCGGAUCGUAAAACUCUGUUAUUAGGGAAGAACAUAUGUGUAAGUAACUGUGCACAUCUUGACGGUACCUAAUCAGAAAGCCACGGCUAACUACGUGCCAGCAGCCGCGGUAAUACGUAGGUGGCAAGCGUUAUCCGGAAUUAUUGGGCGUAAAGCGCGCGUAGGCGGUUUUUUAAGUCUGAUGUGAAAGCCCACGGCUCAACCGUGGAGGGUCAUUGGAAACUGGAAAACUUGAGUGCAGAAGAGGAAAGUGGAAUUCCAUGUGUAGCGGUGAAAUGCGCAGAGAUAUGGAGGAACACCAGUGGCGAAGGCGACUUUCUGGUCUGUAACUGACGCUGAUGUGCGAAAGCGUGGGGAUCAAACAGGAUUAGAUACCCUGGUAGUCCACGCCGUAAACGAUGAGUGCUAAGUGUUAGGGGGUUUCCGCCCCUUAGUGCUGCAGCUAACGCAUUAAGCACUCCGCCUGGGGAGUACGACCGCAAGGUUGAAACUCAAAGGAAUUGACGGGGACCCGCACAAGCGGUGGAGCAUGUGGUUUAAUUCGAAGCAACGCGAAGAACCUUACCAAAUCUUGACAUCCUUUGACAACUCUAGAGAUAGAGCCUUCCCCUUCGGGGGACAAAGUGACAGGUGGUGCAUGGUUGUCGUCAGCUCGUGUCGUGAGAUGUUGGGUUAAGUCCCGCAACGAGCGCAACCCUUAAGCUUAGUUGCCAUCAUUAAGUUGGGCACUCUAAGUUGACUGCCGGUGACAAACCGGAGGAAGGUGGGGAUGACGUCAAAUCAUCAUGCCCCUUAUGAUUUGGGCUACACACGUGCUACAAUGGACAAUACAAAGGGCAGCGAAACCGUGAGGUCAAGCAAAUCCCAUAAAGUUGUUCUCAGUUCGGAUUGUAGUCUGCAACUCGACUACAUGAAGCUGGAAUCGCUAGUAAUCGUAGAUCAGCAUGCUACGGUGAAUACGUUCCCGGGUCU
RNAcentral lists this ribosomal RNA (1372 nucleotides) under uncultured bacterium. RNAcentral describes it as "bacterial SSU rRNA". It matches the Rfam family "Bacterial small subunit ribosomal RNA", at positions 28 to 1381 of the family's 1533-position model. The record is from RNAcentral.